CUCUUAUCCAGAGAGGUGGAGGGACUGGCCCUUUGAUGCCUCAGCAACAGACUGAAUCUUGUACUGUGCUAAUUCCAGAAGUGUAAAAACUUGAAGAUAAGAA
Molecule: non-coding RNA, 103 nt
Filed under: Bacillus sp. (in: firmicutes)
Lineage: Bacteria; Bacillati; Bacillota; Bacilli; Caryophanales; Bacillaceae
Description: Bacillus sp. SAM-I sequence
Rfam family: SAM riboswitch aptamer (S box leader)
About the family: The SAM riboswitch is found upstream of a number of genes which code for proteins involved in methionine or cysteine biosynthesis in Gram-positive bacteria. The SAM riboswitch acts at the level of transcription termination control.
Source: RNAcentral